UCCUGGUUUCCCAGGCAGUCCCACCAGAGUGCUUUGUUUCCAAAUAGCAACUGAUGGCAAGGGUUGCGCUCGUUAAAGGACUUAACCCAACAUCUCACGACACGAGCUGACGACAGCCAUGCAGCACCUGUGCAAUUGUCCGAACCGAAGCUCGGAAGACCGUAUUUCUACAGCUGUCAAAAACAUGUCAAGUCCAGGUAAGGUUCCUCGCGUAGUGUCGAAUUAAACCACAUGUUCCACCGCUUGUGCGGACCCCCGUCAAUUCCUUUGAGUUUUAAUCUUGCGACCGUACUCCCCAGGCGAAUCACUUAACGCGUUAGCUUCGACACCAAUCCAGCAAAGCCGGACUGACAUCCAGUGAUUAUCGUUUACAGCGUGGACUAC
This 384-nucleotide unclassified non-coding RNA is filed under the name uncultured bacterium. RNAcentral's name for it is "contains 16S-23S intergenic spacer region". The record is from RNAcentral.